GGAAAGAGAAAGAUAAAUAAGUUUGGUUUUUUCAUGUUUAAGAUUAAUAUUAAUCGCUGCAAAAAAUCCCACUAACAAAGUCUUGAGAAUCGUAUUUAGUAAAAAAAAAAAAAGGUUUUGAGAAUCGUAUAAUCAUUCUAACUAUGUUGGGCCUAUUCCAUUCUAACUAAGUCGGGCCUUCAACUAAUGGGCCUAUUCCUUUUUCUUCUUCACGCCGUCGUGAAACUCGCCCUCCACAGCCAUGCCGUCGUGAAAAUAUCCCAAAAAUACAAACCCCUACCGCUCCGAUUCGUAUCGCGCUUCUGACUCGUUAUCUCCGAAACUCAAUCCUCAAAUUAUCAAUUUCAGAUUCCGGUGUGUUUCUUCUGCAUUCUCAGUCGGUAGUUCCACCUGCAAACCUCGUGUCAUUCAGAAUGGCUAAGGGUUUGAUAUGGGCAACAGCCGAGGAUUUGCAAAGGAACAGGGGCCGAGUUUUGUCCUUAUAUCGUCAGAUAUUGCGAAGCCUGAAUUCUCCUUCGUUGCCACUGACCUUCGCUGCGAGAAUUGCGAAGAAAACGAAGGUGCGUUCAAUGUUUUGGGUGGGUUCUGAUGAACGGUCUUUGCAUAACAUUGCUGACCUAAUUGAUGCUGCCGAAUACUCUCUAUCCUUUCUCAAAAAAGGCCAAUUUCCCCCUCGUCACAUCACCUGAACCACACAUUCCAUUUCGCUCAUCGCAAUUUGGUAUGAAAGUUCAUGCUUGCAAUUAUGAUACUAUUUGGUUGUUUAUAUGGAAGAAAUAGGCAUAAGAUAUGAUUUGUAUUUUACCAUUUUGCGUUGGCCAAUGUUCAAAAUUGACAACGGAAUACCCAAUUUGGUCAUUGAAAUUUUAGUAUUGUUAUUGUCUGUGUUGGUACUAUAUAGACUAUAAGGAUGUUGAAUUGGUAAUUUCAAGGAUGAAUUUGAAAUUAAAGUUCAAUGUUAAUGUCAAAGAUGCAUUGGUUCCAAUAUAAAGAUGAACUAGAUUAACAUUAUGAAGCUUCAGAUCAUUUUGUAAUAUUGAUAAUGUGGAAGACUAGGUUUAUACAAUGGUACAAUUUCAGACACCAACUUGGAUAUUUUGCCCAUACAUAUCUUAUUAGCCAAAUCCAAUCUUUUAGAAUAUGUCAAACCUAAAUUCUACUUAUUGUAUUCUUAUAACAACAGUUCCUAGUUAGAUCAAUUAAGUUAUGGAUGAUCGAUAUAGGAGGAGAUUGUUAUACUAAUAUUUUUCUUUUAUUCUUGCUCUUCCAAGUGUUCUUGAGAGUUGGUUAUUCUAGAUUCUGUUUCAUAUAUUCAGUUGCAUGAAAGUGACUCUAACUUUUCUUCUGGGGUUUCUUUUUAGCAUGGGAAUGGGAUUGGCAAUGCUAUUGUUUGAUUGUGCAAUGCUUUCUUAUUCUUCAUUGUCUUUGUGGCUUAUGUUGCAGAAUUUGGAUUUAAAUUGAUUGACCGACCUUUUCCAA
This is a long non-coding RNA of Trifolium pratense (red clover), 1479 nucleotides long. RefSeq lists it as uncharacterized. The transcript has 2 exons. The record is from RefSeq and is a predicted model, not a curated record. Lineage: Eukaryota; Viridiplantae; Streptophyta; Magnoliopsida; Fabales; Fabaceae.